CAAUGGAUAGUGGCGCACGGGCUGAGUAACGCGUGGGAAUAUGCCCUGGAGUACGGAAUAACUAAGGGAAACUUUAGCUAAUACCGUAUACGCCCCAAGGGGGAAAGAUUUAUCGCUCCAGGAUUAGCCCGCGUCUGAUUAGCUUGUUGGUAAGGUAAUGGCUUACCAAGGCGACGAUCAGUAGCUGGUCUGAGAGGAUGACCAGCCACACUGGGACUGAGACACGGCCCAGACUCCUACGGGAGGCAGCAGUGGGGAAUAUUGGACAAUGGGGGAAACCCUGAUCCAGCCAUGCCGCGUGAGUGAAGAAGGCCUUAGGGUUGUAAAGCUCUUUCAGCGGGGACGAUGAUGACGGUACCCGCAGAAGAAGCCCCGGCUAACUCCGUGCCAGCAGCCGCGGUAAUACGGAGGGGGCUAGCGUUGUUCGGAAUUACUGGGCGUAAAGCGCGCGUAGGCGGUGUGCAUAGUCAGAGGUGAAAGCCCGGGGCUCAACCCCGGAACUGCCUUUGAUACUUGCACGCUAGAAUCCGUGAGAGGGUAGUGGAAUUCCUAGUGUAGAGGUGAAAUUCGUAGAUAUUAGGAAGAACACCAGUGGCGAAGGCGACUACCUGGCACGGCAUUGACGCUGAUGUGCGAAAGCGUGGGGAGCGAACAGGAUUAGAUACCCUGGUAGUCCACGCCGUAAACGAUGAGUGCUAGUUGUUGGGAUGUUUACAUCUCGGUGACGUAGCUAACGCGUUAAGCACUCCGCCUGGGGAGUACGGCCGCAAGGCUAAAACUCAAAGGAAUUGACGGGGGCCCGC
RNAcentral lists this ribosomal RNA (803 nucleotides) under uncultured Alphaproteobacteria bacterium. Its description in RNAcentral is "bacterial SSU rRNA". It matches the Rfam family "Bacterial small subunit ribosomal RNA", at positions 86 to 924 of the family's 1533-position model. The record is from RNAcentral. Lineage: Bacteria; Pseudomonadati; Pseudomonadota; Alphaproteobacteria.